Molecule: ribosomal RNA, 629 nt
Filed under: uncultured bacterium
Lineage: Bacteria
Description: bacterial SSU rRNA
Rfam family: Bacterial small subunit ribosomal RNA (bases 1-542)
Source: RNAcentral
CCUACGGGAGGCAGCAGUGGGGAAUUUUGGACAAUGGGCGAAAGCCUGAUCCAGCCAUUCCGCGUGAGUGAAGAAGGCCUUCGGGUUGUAAAGCUCUUUCGCAAGGGAAGAAAACUUAGCUACUAAUAUUAGCUGAGGUUGACGGUACCUUGAUAAGAAGCACCGGCUAACUACGUGCCAGCAGCCGCGGUAAUACGUAGGGUGCGAGCGUUAAUCGGAAUUACUGGGCGUAAAGCGUGCGCAGGCGGUUUUGUAAGUCAGAUGUGAAAUCCCCGAGCUCAACUUGGGAACUGCGUUUGAAACUACAAGACUAGAAUAUGUCAGAGGGGGGUAGAAUUCCACGUGCAGCAGUGAAAUGCGUAGAGAUGUGGAGGAAUACCAAUGGCGAAGGCAGCCCCCUGGGAUAAUAUUGACGCUCAUGCACGAAAGCGUGGGGAGCAAACAGGAUUAGAUACCCUGGUAGUCCACGCCCUAAACGAUGUCUACUAGUUGUUGGUGGAGUAAAAUCCAUGAGUAACCGCAGCUAACGCGNGAGAGACGCCGCGGAGGUACGGUCGCGAGAGUUAAACGUAACGAAGAAGUUAGUACGGCGUGAGACGUAGACCGACGGACGACGACGAGGGAGGAGG